This is an RNA transcript of Canis lupus familiaris (dog), 8618 nucleotides long. It is a transcript of the gene named hexokinase 3, with no coding region annotated. The transcript is spliced from 21 exons. Lineage: Eukaryota; Metazoa; Chordata; Mammalia; Carnivora; Canidae. The record is from RefSeq and is a predicted model, not a curated record.
UGGAGCCCUUGUGCUCCAUGAUUUUGUACAUGCUCUUCUCUUUGUUAAGGAUCACUUCUGCCAGCAUACUGCUAUUCUUCCUUCAAAGCUCAGCUCUUCAGAUUGCCCUGCCCACUCUAGGGCAGAGUUAAUCUCUUCUUCUUGUGCACCACAUUGCUUCUUGCGCAUUAGUACUUCAACAUUUUGGGGAAAUUGUCUAUUGUACUGUAUAUCUCUCAUGCUAGGCUUCUCCAUCUUUCCAGAGGUGAGCCACCACCUCAAAACUCAGACUCUGAGUAUUUGUAAAGUGGAUGGAGCUCUAAGCAUUACAGAGAGGAUGUCCUAGGGUCCUUGACCUGGUUCAGGGCUCCAGCUUCCUGCAGUCAUCUUGCUUAAGUUUGCACCAUAGCCUGCCUGCCCUGUGCUUCUCUUAGGGCAGACUCAGAAGGAAGUGCACCUUCCUGAAUUAACUGUUGUCUAGUUAGUAGUGUCCAAGAAAGAGGGUGGGACAUUACAACUCGGGCGACCCAUUUUAUUUUUGGAUGCAAACCAGGUCAGUGGAAUGCCUCACACUGAGAGAGAAGAGCUCACGCCUAAGGAAAGUAACCAACUACUUCUCCCAGGUGGCCACCCUCCAAUGUGGAACCACAUGGACUCCAUUGGGCCAAUAGGGUUGCCGCACAGGGAAGGAGUCCCUGGCUGCUCCCAGGAGGGCUUGCCCUACCCCUCAAACAGCUCUGAGCUGCCUGUUUCUCCCCAGGUGUUGGAGUGUCUACAGCAGUUCAAGGUGACGGGGACACAGCUGCAGCAGAUCCAAGCCAGCCUCCUGGACUCUAUGGAGCAGGCACUGGGGGGUCAGGCCAGCCCUGCCUCUGCUGUCCGGAUGCUGCCCACAUACGUGGGGUCCAUCCCACAUGGCACUGAGCAAGGAGAUUUUGUGGUGCUGGAGCUGGGGGCCACAGGGGCCUCACUGCGUGUUCUGUGGGUGACCCUGAUGGGCACUGGGGGGCAUAGGAUGGAGCCCCGGAGCCAGGAGUUUGUGAUCCCCCCAGAGGUGAUGCUGGGUCCUGGUCAGCAGCUCUUUGACUUUGCUGCCCACUGCCUGUCUGAAUUCCUGGAUGCACUCCCCGUGGGAAAACAAGGUCUACAACUUGGGUUCAGCUUCUCCUUCCCUUGUCACCAGACAGGCCUGGACAGGAGCACCCUUAUUUCCUGGACCAAAGGUUUUAGGUGCAGUGGUGUGGAAGGCCACGAUGUGGUCCAGUUGCUGCGAGAUGCCAUCAAGAGGCAUGGGGCCUACAACAUCGAUGUGGUUGCUGUGGUGAAUGACACAGUGGGCACCAUGAUGGGCUGCGAGCCAGGGGUUGGGCCGUGUGAGGUCGGGCUUGUUGUAGACACUGGCACCAAUGCAUGUUACAUGGAGGAGGCAAGGCAUGUGGCAGUGCUGGACGAGGACCGGGGCCGUGUCUGCGUCAGCGUUGAGUGGGGCUCCUUCGGUGAUGAUGGGGUCCUGGGACCAAUGCUGACCAUCUUUGAUCAUGCUUUGGAUCGAGAGUCCCUGAAUCCUGGUGCCCAGAGGUUUGAGAAGAUGAUUGGGGGCUUGUACCUGGGUGAGCUGGUGAGGCUUGUGUUGGUUCACCUGGCCCAGCGAGGGGUCCUCUUUGGUGGCUGCACCUCCCCUGCCCUGCUGAGCCGAGGUAGCAUCCUCCUGGAGCACGUGGCUGAGAUGGAGGACCCCUGGGCUGGGGCAGCCCGUGUGCAUGCUCUCCUGCAGGACUUGGGCCUGAACGUGGGGGCCUCAGAUGUUGAGCUCGUGCAGUAUGUAUGUGCAGCUGUGUUUACUCGGGCUGCCCGGCUCUGUGCUGCCGCCCUGGCUGCUGUUCUCUCUCGCCUCCAGCACAGCCGGGAGCAGCAGAUACUUCAGAUUGCUGUGGCCACCGGAGGCCGAGUAUUUGAGCAACACCCCAGUUUUCUCAGCAUCCUGCAGGAGACUGUAAUGCUCCUAACCCCCGAAUGUGAUGUCUCCUUCAUUCCCUCUGUGGAUGGGGGUGGCCGGGGCGUGGCAAUGGUGACUGCUGUGGCUGCCCGCCUGGCUGCUCACCGGCACCUGCUGGAAGAGACCCUGGCACCUUUCCAAUUGAACCAUGAACAGCUGGCAGCAGUGCAGGCACAGAUGCGGGAGGCCAUGGUCAAGGGGCUCCGAGGGGAGGCAUCAUCCCUCCGCAUGUUGCCCACUUAUGUCCGGGCCACGCCUGAUGGCAGUGAGCGUGGGGACUUCCUGGCCCUGGACCUGGGGGGCACCAACUUCCGGGUUCUCCUGGUGCGUGUGACUGCAGAAGGUGUGAAGAUCACCAACCAGAUCUAUUCCAUCCCAGAGAAUGUGGCCCAGGGCUCUGGACAGCAGCUCUUUGAUCACAUCGUGGACUGCAUUGUGGACUUCCAGCAGAAGCAGGGCCUGAGUGGGCAGAGCCUUCCGCUGGGUUUCACCUUCUCCUUCCCAUGCAGGCAGCUUGGCCUUGAUCAGGGCAUCCUCCUAAAUUGGACAAAGGGUUUCAGUGCGUCAGAUUGUGAGGGUCAAGACAUUGUGUGUCUGCUUCGGGAAGCCAUUGGGCGAAGACAGGCAGUGGAGCUGAAUGUGGUUGCCAUUGUGAAUGACACGGUGGGGACCAUGAUGUCCUGUGGCUAUGAGGAUCCCCGUUGUGAGGUCGGCCUCAUCGUUGGGACUGGCACCAAUGCCUGUUACAUGGAAGAGCUUCGGAAUGUGGCAGCUGUAGCUGGGGACUCAGGGCAGAUGUGCAUCAAUAUGGAGUGGGGUGCCUUUGGGGAUGAUGGGUCUCUGGGCUUACUUAGAACCUGCUUUGAUGCAAGUGUGGACCAGGCAUCCAUCAACCCUGGCAAGCAGAGUUUUGAGAAGAUGAUCAGUGGCAUGUACCUGGGAGAGAUUGUCCGCCACAUUCUUUUGCAUUUGACCAGCCUUGGAGUUCUUUUCCGGGGCCAGCAGACCCAGCGCCUUCAGACCAGGGACAUCUUCAAGACCAAGUUUCUCUCUGAGAUUGAAAGUGACAGUCUAGCUCUGAGGCAGGUCCGAGCCAUCCUGGAAGAUCUGGGGCUGUCCCUGACUUCAGAUGAUGCCCUGAUGGUCCUGGAGGUGUGCCAAGCUGUGUCCCAGCGGGCUGCCCAGCUCUGUGGGGCAGGUGUGGCUGCUGUGGUGGAGAAGAUCCGUGAGAACCGGGGCCUAGAAGAGCUGACUGUGUCCAUAGGGGUGGAUGGGACCCUCUAUAAGCUACACCCCCACUUCUCCAGCCUGGUGGCAGCCACCGUGAGGGAGCUGGCCCCUCGCUGUGUGGUCACCUUCCUGCAGUCAGAAGAUGGGUCCGGCAAAGGUGCAGCCCUGGUCACUGCUGUUGCCUGCCGCCUUGCCCAGAUGGCCCGUGUUUGAAGAAGUCUCCAGGAACUACCCUUAUUGGACCAGGGCCCAGGUUCCACCUAUCCUCAGCCACCCAGGACUCCCAGAAUAGCUCAAGUGUGGCCCUUCUGCGGCCGCUAGCCUUGACCUCUGGCUUUCCCAGAGAGAAGGAGCACUCGGGUACUGUACAAAGUUCCUCCUCCUUAGCCCCAGGGCCCCCAGGUGGCUUUCUCUCUCCCUGCUGCUGCUCCUACAUCCUCUUCAAUCUCCAACCCAAGUCAGAUUGUGAUUGCAUCUGUCUGUCUGCAUCUGCAUCUCUCUCCCUGAAGACUUGGAGGAAGCAGCUAAGCAGUUUCUAGGAGGAGCCCCUGCAGGAGCCUUCCUUUGAAGACUGUGCCAGCCUGGACAAGGGGACAGAGGUGCCACAGGGACUGCCAGGCUGUCCAUCUACCUACACAGGCAUGAAGCUGAGUUCUGGUGGUCCCAAGAGAGGCUGAGGGAGCUCAGGUGAAAAAGCAUGCCUCGUUGGCCUGGGCACAGAAAACUAUGGAACAAAAAGGUGCCAGGUAUGCUAUACCUACCUGACCUGUCACCCAAAAGGCACUGGGUAAGACCAGGGCACUCCCUGCUUAAAACUUUCCCUGACUCCAGCAUAAGGCCCGGCUUCCUGGUCUGGCAUUUAAGGCCCUCACCUCUGGCCCCCACUGCCUUUCCAGCAGCUUUUUCAGCCCAGAGUGUACUGUACACUUGACCAUUCUGAAGCUACUCUCCUGAGCAUACCUCUGCCUGGGUGCCCUACCCUCCUGCUCUGCUCAAGUUUUCCUUCUCUCCAUUGGCCCUGCUCAUCUUUGGGGAUUGCCAUUCUCAGCCACCAUGACUCUGCUCCUGGUUGUUGCUCUGGUUGUUAGUUGUGGUUGUUACCUUGCUGGGUUGGGUAGACCUCCCUGGUUUGGGAGCCAUUGCACACAUGUCCUCUUGUCUGGUGGGUUCACCUCUGUCCCAAUGUCUUGCAGGCAGCAUCAGAAAUGACUGCUUAGUGAGGAGUGGUUCAAGGGGGGAGGACGAGGGACAAGGGCUGCAGAGUUCCUCUGGGAAUGGCAAGGAGUGAUCCUGUUCCACCUUCCUGCUCUUUUAGGACAGGGGUGCCUACAUUAGGAGGGACUUCAGGGGCACGUGACUGGGGAGAGGAAGGAAUUCUAUGACCAAGUCCAAAAGCUUAUGUUUAUGCUCUGGCAUGAACCCUGAGGUGGGUUGGUUGGAAUAUCACUACUUCCCAGAAACUGACGCCCAGGAGAGGGAAGCCAUUGAUGGCAUAUUUACAGCUACUGCUCCCUUCACCAGCUCUAUGCUGCCUCCUGGUACUGGCUGCCAGUGUUGGUGACAGUCCCAGAGAUCCAUGUGUGUGAAUGCUCUCUGUGGCAGAGGUAUACAUACUUACACAUUCAGUGGAUGCUAAUGUCUGGUACUCAGGGCAGUGAGGAAAAACUAGGGGACCUGCUCUCCUAAGGCACUCAGCUCGGUGGGUAGAAAGACAAGUGGAUGGUAGUAAAGGGUGCUGGCGGAGAGCAGGGAGGAGUGGCAGCCCCCCUGCUCCAGAGGGAAUGAAAGGCUGAUGGUCCCUGAGUGCCCACUGUGCGCCUGUCCUUUCUGAGCUUAACUUGGACCAUCUCACCUCAUCAUCCUAGCAACCCUGUGAGGAGGACCUGAGGCCCAGAGAGGGAGAGCUGCCAGGCCAAGACCUGAAUGAGAAGUAGUAGAUAAGUCAGUGAAUGGGGGCAGAGGGACCCAUGUAUGCAAAGGGAAGUCAUAGUGUGCUUGAAGUGCUGAGAGCCCACCGGGACUGCCAUGUGCAGGGAAAGAGUGCAUAGAAGGGUAUGGCACCUGGAUGGGAGGGAACAGACAGGUCACUGUGGCCCUGUCCCAUGGGCUUUGGGGCAUGGGGAGCCCCGAAAAGAGUUCAAGAAGGGGAAGGACAUGAUUAAGUCUGGCUUCACUGGGUGAAUGCUUGUUGCCUUGAACCAGAUGAGAGGUAGGUAUGAUUGCCUGAGCCAAAAAGGUGGUGGGAAAGAGAACUAGGAGGAUGCAGGAACAUUUGAGGAGGAAGAAUGAUGGGAUUGGUGUGUGACUGACUAAAGCUGUUGUAGAGAGCAAGUGAUAAAGAGUUAGGAGGUCAAGGUGACCUCCAGUUUCUGGCUUGAACAACUUGACUCCGCUGUCCCUGAGGUGAGGAAAGCCAGGAAACAGGAGGUUCUGGGGGAGGGUGGGAGACAGUGCUGUUUUAGGCACCACAGGAAUCUGAGGUGCUGUGAGACAUCCAGAUGGAGCUGCCCAGGAGGCAGCUGGGUGUAUGAUUCUGUCGCCCAGGAGAAAUGUGGCUGGGGAUGGAGGAGUGGGAGUUAUCUGCACAGACAUGGCGAUUAAAGCCAUGGAGUAGGCGAGAGUGCUCUGCAAGAGGGUGCCAGGCAGGAGCUCUGAGGAACACCUACAUUAAGGGAAGAAGCACCAGGAGCAGCUGGAGAGGGGCAAGAAAAUCAAGGGCAUGUGGGGUCACCUGACCUGAGGGAAUAGAGAAUUUCAGAGUGAGAACAUCUUCCUCAGAAGAUGACUAUGGAAGGGGUCUAUGGAUUCCCUGUCAUGGACCCUGUCAGUAGGGUUUCCAUGAGGUGGUAGGUGGAUGGCCUCCUGUCUAGGCAUUUGUCCUUUGCCACGUCUCCACUAGUUGGCCAGCUCCUUGGGGCUGGCACCUGUCCUACCUCUGGGCUCAGGGCCCAACAGAGUCUGGCACACACAGGCUGGCUGACCGCAUAAAUGAAUGGACAGUAGUCCUGUGCGGAAAGGUAACAGAAGGGAGACACUCUGACCUCUGUGCUGGCCCCACUGCCAGCCAUGACUGGAUUCUCUCCAAAACCCUAUCCCCUUUCCUUGCUGGCCUGGCUCAGCACUCGGGGUGAGGCUGAGCAGCACAGGACAAACAUCAGAGCUGUCUUGUCCUCCCCUAGGAGGGACACAAAAGCUAAUUUUGCCUCUUAGAGCUCCCCAGGGCACUCUGGGGUCCUUCCCACCUGUAUUAGGGAUCAUCAGCCGGCCCCCGAGGAAGUUGAAGGUCCCAUAGGUCAUGUUGCUGGUGCCGCGGGGAAGGGAGCGGAAGUAGUUCUGAGUAGAGAGGCGGGAAACGAAGUCCUCGGCCUCAGAGGUGGGCGAGCUGUGGUGCAGUGUGUGGCGCCCACCACUCAGUGGGCUGAGCAGGUGCCCAUUGGCGAGCUGGAACUUGGGGCUUGUCCCGUCCUGCCGGGGACACAGACUGCCCUGGCAGGUGGUGGUGGUGGUGCUGAGGUCUGGCUGGAUGGUGAGCAGAUGGGGAUUGUCUGCAAGGGUAAAGAUAGACUCAGGGGGUGGCACUGAGGUGACCUGUUGGGUAAUUCUUGGUGUGGGGGCCUGGCAGGGAUGCUAGGAGUGAGGGGACACCUCACCUGCUUUGCUGGGCUUGAUGCUGACGGGUUGGAAGCCUGAGGUGAGGAUGGACGAAUCAGCCACAUCUGAGUCUAGCCCUUCCUUCUUUCGGCAAUAAACAAGGAUGAGGACAAGCAGCAGCAGGAGGAGGCAUACAGCCACAGCAAUGAGGCCCACAUAGAGGGCCACAUCCUCAGGCCUGGAAGCAGCUGCGGGAAAGAGCGCGGCCUUGGGAGGGGCAGGGUGCAGGAGGCCAGGAAGGAGAGGUCAGCAGUCUACACCCCAGGAGGAUGAGGCGCUCACUCCUUGGGCAUCAGCACUAGCGGGGCUUCGGAUGCUGGUGGCAGGGAGCAUGGAGUCAGCAUGUGCGCAUCUCAGCCCUGCAUCUGCCACCACCUUGCUGUGUCACUCUGGGCAAAUCACAUCUCUCACUGCUCGUUCAGUCUGAGAGGUUGCUGCUACUGGAGGAUGGAAGAGGGGAAGAUACACUUCCCCAGACAGCCCUAUUGAGCUGCUAGGCUGCACCUAUUCUUCUGGGGCCCAGGGCAGCUGGGACUGGGAGGCAGCUCCUGGGAUCUCCAAAGUAGGGGUUCUGCUUCCUGGGGGUGGAGGGGCCUGCUAAUCUGGUUCCUAGCCAUGUCCCUGGGCCAGAAUCACUAUGGGGGUGAUUGCUCGGAGGAAGCUAUAUUGAUUUUAGAAGGGCUUUAUGUAAUGGGAGAAAUGUCCAUCAGAAAGGAAUUGACACAGAUAAUUAGGUUUUUAAUUGAAAGAAUGGGGGAGGGUGUGUUCUAGAGAAAAAAAUCCAACAGAGAUCUUUAAUUGUUAGUUAUGGCCUUGUAAUUAACAGGCCUCACAAGACUGGCAUCCCCACAGGACUUUUGUGUGCACUUCGGGGACUCCGUGGAGGUGAAGCUGCAGAGAGGAGGGGGAUCCAGGCAUCUGGGGUACAUGGGAAAGGUUCACAUGUAUGCAUGUUUCAGCAGAGGUGAGAGAGAUAUUAGGGUAUACAUGGGCACAAGUGUGGGUAUGUUAGGGAUGCGGAGUUCCUGAAGGUCCUAAAUUUUGGAGACCGGGUACAGCCUGUGGCAGGGGACUGACUCCCUUAGCCAUCACCUCCUGGGGCUGGUCAGGGCCAAAACUGGCAAAAUCCAGAGGACUCCUGGGGCAGAGAGGACUCACUGUGCACACAGAGAUCGCUGGUGCAAUUUCGGGUAUCCAGGUCAGUGCCCCGGCACUCCUCGCCUCCAUUGCGGGGUGCUGGGUCAGAACACUCACGACUCCGCCAGUGGGUGCAGUCGAGCCCACAGGCCGACCACUUGCUCCAUGGGCUCCAGCUGCCAUCCACUAGACGAGAGACAGACAGGAACAGAGAGGAGAUGGUGCAGUCAGCCCGAGCAGCAGCCUAGGUAGUUUGCCAGUGCGGCCCUGCUGGGCAUCCAGACCUAGGUGCAAUGCUGUGUGGUAAGGAGCACACCCUCUGGUGUCCAGCUGGCCUAAAUGAUGCAUGCUAAUGACGGGAUGCUGGGCCUGCUUUGUUCUAUCCACACUAUGGGGCCGUCCGGGCCCUGGGGCAACAAGGGUGCUUGGUCACACAUGACGCUGUGAUUCCAGACAUAGGUGGUUCUGUAGCCUCAGGCAGUGCCCUGCCCCUGACCCACUCUGUCUAUACCUGUCCUAAUUGUACCUCAGACUCUCUGACUCAACCCCUCUACCAAAGCCUAGCCUGGACACAGACCAAACCCUGCCCCCAAUCACAUUAAACCCCAUCCCAGCUUUGGACUGA